Molecule: ribosomal RNA, 468 nt
Filed under: uncultured bacterium
Lineage: Bacteria
Description: partial 16S ribosomal RNA
Rfam family: Bacterial small subunit ribosomal RNA
Source: RNAcentral
GACGAACGCUGGCGGCGUGCUUAACACAUGCAAGUCGAACGGAAAGGCCCUGCUUUUGUGGGGUGCUCGAGUGGCGAACGGGUGAGUAACACGUGAGUAACCUGCCCUUGACUUUGGGAUAACUUCAGGAAACUGGGGCUAAUACCGGAUAGGAGCUCCUGCUGCAUGGUGGGGGUUGGAAAGUUUCGGCGGUUGGGGAUGGACUCGCGGCUUAUCAGCUUGUUGGUGGGGUAGUGGCUUACCAAGGCUUUGACGGGUAGCCGGCCUGAGAGGGUGACCGGCCACAUUGGGACUGAGAUACGGCCCAGACUCCUACGGGAGGCAACAGUGGGGAAUAUUGCACAAUGGGCGGAAGCCUGAUGCAGAAACGCCGCGUGCGGGAUGACGGCCUUCGGGUUGUAAACCGCUUUCGCCUGUGACGAAGCGUGAGUGACGGUAAUGGGUAAAGAAGCACCGGCUAACUACGUG